RNAcentral lists this ribosomal RNA (497 nucleotides) under uncultured bacterium. RNAcentral describes it as "partial 16S ribosomal RNA". It matches the Rfam family "Bacterial small subunit ribosomal RNA", at positions 28 to 507 of the family's 1533-position model. The record is from RNAcentral.
GAUGAACGCUGGCGGCGUGCCUAAUACAUGCAAGUCGAGCGAACGGACGAGAAUCUUGCUUCUCUGAUGUUAGCGGCGGACGGGUGAGUAACACGUGUAUAACCUACCUAUAAUACUGGGAUAACUUCGGGAAACCGUAGCUAAUACCGGCUAAUAUUUUGAACCGCAUGGUUCAAAAGUGUAAGACGGUCUUUCUGUCACUUAUAGAUUUAUCCGCGCUGCAUUAGCGAGUUGGUAAGGUAACGGCUUACCAAGGCAACGAUUCAUAGCCGACCUGAGAGGGUGAUCGGACACACUGGAACAGAGACACGGAAAAGACAACGACGGGAGGCAGCAGAAGGGAAGCUUGCGCAAUGGGCGAAAGCAUGACGGAGCAAGGCCGCGGGAGGGAUGAAGGUGUACGGAUCGUAAAACUCUGUUAGUAGGGAAGAAAAUAUGUGUAAGAAACUGUGAACAGAAUGACGGUAACUAAACAGAAAGCAACGGCUAACUACGUG